This 71-nucleotide transfer RNA is filed under the name Hippoglossus hippoglossus (Atlantic halibut). RNAcentral describes it as "transfer RNA-Ala". It matches the Rfam family "tRNA". Rfam says of the family: Transfer RNA (tRNA) molecules are approximately 80 nucleotides in length. Their secondary structure includes four short double-helical elements and three loops (D, anti-codon, and T loops). The record is from RNAcentral. Lineage: Eukaryota; Metazoa; Chordata; Actinopteri; Pleuronectiformes; Pleuronectidae.
AAGGCUUUAGCUUAAUUAAAGUGUUUGCUUUGCAUGCAGAAGAUGUGGGAUAGUAGCCCGCAAGUCUUAAC